Molecule: long non-coding RNA, 1137 nt
Organism: Acanthopagrus latus (yellowfin seabream)
Lineage: Eukaryota; Metazoa; Chordata; Actinopteri; Spariformes; Sparidae
Exons: 2
Source: RefSeq, a predicted model, not a curated record
AAGACGGGCUGCAGGACGUAGCUGGAGAACGUGAGCGCGAUGACGGCCAGCGUGGUCGGGUACAUGAUGAGGACGGCGCUCCACAACAGCAGGAACCUGAACCAGACAGACGGAUCAACCACCGAAUAUCUCCGUCACGUAGGAGUAGUCUCCUCCAGAUUUGGGGAUGGUGACGCCCAGUUCAGCGUAGCAGAGCGAGCCCAAGGCAGCGAUGCAGCCUCCCAGAACCCAAACCACCAGCGCCAGACCCACUGAGCCCGAGUGCUCCAGGACCCCCUUUGGAGAGAUGAAGAUCCCAGAGCCGAUGAUGUUUCCUGAGGAGAGAAAGGACGAAGGUCAGAGACUCUGUGGAGAUACAGAUCAACAAGACACCUUCAGGUUCUAAUGAGCGAACUGCUCCUUUAAAGCUUCAUGAUGGUUUACAGUCACUUACAGAAAAUACAUUUAAGUGCUGCUGCUGGUUCUUCUCAGUAGGAACCUGAGUUCUUUAGGAAGCAGCCGGGCCGACAGAACCUCGAGUCAGAACCAAACGGAGCUGAAGGAAACUGAUGGCCUCAAACACACCACAGCCCCAACUUAUGAUUGAUGAUCUAAGAUGUUCUGAUUGUUCUUGAUAUUACUACAGCUGUUUCCUUAACUUCCAACCUCACCGUAAUAUUUCUGUUUUAAUCUAGUUUUUAUUUUCCAUUAUUUCAUUCAAUCAGAAUUGAUUUCACUGUUGAUUUUAUUGUUUUGUACUUUGCUUCUGUGUUUGAAAUGUGAUUUAUCCGUGUGUCAACUUUCACUGUGAAAACUCAAAUGUUCAAUUUAGUUUUUACACUUCAUCUUUCAUCUUUCUUUGACUGUUAUUCUGCUUGUUUUUGUCUUUUAUUAUUUUAACUAUUUGUGUUAUUUCAUCUGUGUGCUUUAAUCUCUGAACUGUUUUUGUUCCCUAAAUAUCUCAUGUUUUAUUUUUAGAUCACUUGUAAAUGUCUGAAAGAUGCUUUACACACUUCUCAACAUUAGUUAAUGAUAUUAGGAAACAUGUGCAUGAAACACACAAAAUAAAAUUUCAGAUAUGUCGCAGAAUGAACAGAAUAUCCCAGUAUUCCUGAAUAAUCCUGAGCGGUGUAAGUAAAGUUUGACUGAGGCGAGGAA